GUAACAAGGUUUCCGUAGGUGAACCUGCGGAAGGAUCAUUACCAUGGCGCAGAAGGUGGUGGAACAUACUGGGUAACCCCAGGAGUUAAUCCCUUCACGCUCUUCUACCCUUGUCUAUUUGCACCUUUGUCGUUCCCUCGGCGGGUCUUGAACCUGCCGGCGGCAACUUUCAAAACCUCUUGCAGUAGUAUCUAAUUCUUCUGAUUCAAUAUCAAAUUAUUACAACUUUCAACAAUGGAUCUCUUGGUUCUGGCAUCGAUGAAGAACGCAGCGAAAUGCGAUAAGUAGUGUGAAUUGCAGAAUUCAGUGAAUCAUCGAAUCUUUGAACGCACAUUGCGCCCCUUGGUAUUCCAUGGGGCAUGCCUGUUCGAGCGUCAUUUACACCCUCAAGCUUUGCUUGGUGUUGGGCGUCUGUCUAUGGACUCGCCCCAAAGAUAUUGGCAGCGGUCCUGCCGGGCCUUCCUAAUUGCGCAGCACUGUUCGCGCUACUUGGAGCCUGUUUGCAGGAUUCAGCAUCCAUCAAGCCCUUCUUCUUUAACUUGACCUCGAAUCAGGUAGGGAUACCCGCUGAACUUAAGCAUAUCAAUAA
This 589-nucleotide ribosomal RNA is filed under the name Polyschema sclerotigenum. Its description in RNAcentral is "eukaryotic LSU rRNA". The stretch from base 224 to 377 matches the Rfam family "5.8S ribosomal RNA". The record is from RNAcentral. Lineage: Eukaryota; Fungi; Ascomycota; Dothideomycetes; Pleosporales; Latoruaceae.